Molecule: ribosomal RNA, 225 nt
Filed under: uncultured prokaryote
Description: partial 16S ribosomal RNA
Rfam family: Bacterial small subunit ribosomal RNA
Source: RNAcentral
ACGAACCGAGCGAACGUUGUUCGGAAUCACUGGGCUUAAAGGGCGCGUAGGCGGUCUUGUCAGUCCCUUGUGAAAUCCCCCGGCUCAACUGGGGAACUGCACGGGAAACAGCAGGGCUUGAGUUCGGGAGAGGGAAGCGGAAUUCCGGGUGUAGCGGUGAAAUGCGUAGAUAUCCGGAGGAACACCGGUGGCGAAGGCGGCUUCCUGGACCGAUACUGACGCUGA